RNAcentral lists this ribosomal RNA (382 nucleotides) under uncultured eukaryote. RNAcentral describes it as "partial 18S ribosomal RNA". It matches the Rfam family "Eukaryotic small subunit ribosomal RNA", at positions 592 to 976 of the family's 1831-position model. The record is from RNAcentral.
CAAUAGCGUAUAUUAAAGUUGUUGCAGUUAAAAAGCUCGUAGUUGGAUUUCUGGUUGAAGCGACCGGUCGGGCGUUGAUUCGUCUGCACUGGAGUCGGUUUUGGCCAUCCUCUAGGAAAGUGCGUCUGGUAUUAAGUUAUCGGGCGUAUGAUCCUGGUCUUUUACUGUGAAAAAAUUAGAGUGUUUAAAGCAGGCCUUCGCCUUGAAUACAUUAGCAUGGAAUAAUAAGAUAGGACUUUGGUCUAUUUUGUUGGUUUGCAAACCGAAGUAAUGAUUAAUAGGGAUAGUUGGGGGUAUUUAUAUUCCGAUGUCAGAGGUGAAAUUCUUAGAUUUUCGGAAGAUAAACUUAUGCGAAAGCAUUUACCAAGGAUGUUUUCAUUAA